Molecule: unclassified non-coding RNA, 544 nt
Filed under: Fusarium oxysporum
Lineage: Eukaryota; Fungi; Ascomycota; Sordariomycetes; Hypocreales; Nectriaceae
Description: sequence contains 18S rRNA gene, ITS1, 5.8S rRNA gene, ITS2, 28S rRNA gene
Rfam family: 5.8S ribosomal RNA (bases 192-345)
Source: RNAcentral
UCGUAACAAGGUCUCCGUUGGUGAACCAGCGGAGGGAUCAUUACCGAGUUUACAACUCCCAAACCCCUGUGAACAUACCACUUGUUGCCUCGGCGGAUCAGCCCGCUCCCGGUAAAACGGGACGGCCCGCCAGAGGACCCCUAAACUCUGUUUCUAUAUGUAACUUCUGAGUAAAACCAUAAAUAAAUCAAAACUUUCAACAACGGAUCUCUUGGUUCUGGCAUCGAUGAAGAACGCAGCAAAAUGCGAUAAGUAAUGUGAAUUGCAGAAUUCAGUGAAUCAUCGAAUCUUUGAACGCACAUUGCGCCCGCCAGUAUUCUGGCGGGCAUGCCUGUUCGAGCGUCAUUUCAACCCUCAAGCACAGCUUGGUGUUGGGACUCGCGUUAAUUCGCGUUCCUCAAAUUGAUUGGCGGUCACGUCGAGCUUCCAUAGCGUAGUAGUAAAACCCUCGUUACUGGUAAUCGUCGCGGCCACGCCGUUAAACCCCAACUUCUGAAUGUUGACCUCGGAUCAGGUAGGAAUACCCGCUGAACCUAAGCAUAUC